GCGAGGUAGAGCAAAUCUCAAAAAAACAAUCUCAGUUCAGACUGCAGGCUGCAACUCGCCUGCACGAAGUCGGAAUUGCUAGUAAUCGUAGGUCAGCAUACUACGGUGAAUACGUUCCCGGGCCUUAUACACACCGCCCGUCAAACCAUGAGAGUUGGCAACACCCGAAGUCGGUAGUCUAACCGCAAGGAGGACGCCGCCGAAGGUGGGGUUGAUGAUUAGGGUUAAGUCGUAACAAGGUAGC
Molecule: ribosomal RNA, 244 nt
Filed under: uncultured bacterium
Lineage: Bacteria
Description: partial 16S ribosomal RNA
Rfam family: Bacterial small subunit ribosomal RNA
Source: RNAcentral